GACCCGGUAGCUCAGCUGGAUAGAGCAGCGGCUUCCUAAGCCGUCGGUCGGGGGUUCGAAUCCCUUCCGGGUCGCCA
RNAcentral lists this transfer RNA (77 nucleotides) under Acholeplasmataceae bacterium. Its description in RNAcentral is "tRNA-Arg". It matches the Rfam family "tRNA". Rfam says of the family: Transfer RNA (tRNA) molecules are approximately 80 nucleotides in length. The record is from RNAcentral. Lineage: Bacteria; Bacillati; Mycoplasmatota; Mollicutes; Acholeplasmatales; Acholeplasmataceae. RNAcentral also lists the same sequence under 1 other name.